AUCGCUUCUCCGCUCCUUGGAGCUAAGAUCAAGCGUAGUGUCAGUUCUUAUCAGUUUAAUAUCUGAUCGGUCCUUUAUUUGAGGACUGUAUAUUAAAUUGAUUUUUGAAACAAGGGGAUGGAAUAGGAGCUUGCUUGCUCUGUCCACUCUGUCCACUGGUAUUGCAGUGUCUCCAGGACCAGUGCCUAUCCUUU
This is a small nuclear RNA of Mauremys reevesii (Reeves's turtle), 194 nucleotides long. RefSeq annotates it as U2 spliceosomal RNA. The record is from RefSeq and is a predicted model, not a curated record. The transcript has a single exon. NCBI's taxonomy places the organism in Eukaryota, Metazoa, Chordata, Testudines, Geoemydidae.